Molecule: long non-coding RNA, 433 nt
Organism: Ornithodoros turicata
Lineage: Eukaryota; Metazoa; Arthropoda; Arachnida; Ixodida; Argasidae
Exons: 3
Source: RefSeq, a predicted model, not a curated record
UGUACGACUGAGGAACAAGUCUCCCCCCCAAAGAAUGCCAUUUUGCCCCUGCACCUAUCGAAGAACCUACUUUUGGUCUGGCCACACAUACGUAAACUUCAAUCCAAUCUCAGCACAACUGCAAAUGCCGUCACUUUCGAGACUGUUCCGUUAGUUUCCGGAUGAUGAGAGCUAAGAGUCGGUUUGUGUCCAGGCAUAACGGCUCGGUUCCAGUUCUGCUCAGUGAAUAUCACCAGCAAUUUUAUAUUAUUACAAACUCUGUUGUAUACCCAAAUGGCCGUCACCUUUUGACUUUACAAACGAUUCAGGAAAACGAAACUACAGAGUGCAGUUGCCCAACAUCUCCAUCGAUGUGGGCAUCCAGCUAUGCAUUUCUGCUUGUAUUGGAGACUCGGGCUCAGGUUGCAUGAACCAGUCGCUUUUGGAACAGGCU